GUACAAGUCAUCUCAGCUUGUCCCAACUAAUCCUCAUAUUUCCACUCUAUUUCCAUCGAUUAAUAUAAAAUUUCCUAUAUUUCUUCAAAAUAAUAAUAUAAAUUUCUUAUAAUGUUGACCAAAUGUAUAGGACAAAACUUUUCAUAUUUAGAACACAGAGAUAGUAAUAUAGAAUAACGGUUUUACUAUAUCUAGUCUGAUUUUUAGUUAGGGAUAAGUUGAUCCUCAGCCAUUGGAUAUGCUUUGUGCUUUAAGAUUCCAAACGAACUACUUCCUUCGUCCAACAAAGGAUGUCUCAAUUUUGACUAAAUUUGAAUGCAUCUAUACACUAAAUCAUGUCUAGAUACAUCAAAAUUUUGACAAACUUGAGACAUCUUUUGUUGGACGGAGGGAGUAUGAAAACUUGAAAAGGAAAAAGUGAAAUAGCAUCCAGACACUAAUUCGACGGUUCUGAUUCGUCAACUUAGAUUUUAAAAUUUUGGUUAAAAAUCAGCUUGCUGAGAUAUAAUCAUACCUUGUCCACCGCUGCUACUGCUCAGCAGCAAAUGUCUAAGAGCAUGUCCAGCAUUGGUCAACACAGCUGCUAAGAAGAUUUAGCACCGGUCAUGCCAAUGCUAAGAGAUUUUUGCUAGAUCCGCAUCAAGUAGAACCAUCGGUUCCAAGAGCAGGUUGACUCUGGUGGAGCCCAUGUGCAGCUUUCCCCCCCUCCGUUCUUUCUCCCCACCUUGCUAGAAAGUAGUAUUCUAUAUUAUUUAAUGGGAUCAACUGAGAAAAGCUUAGCACAUGUACAUUGCACUAGUAUUUCGGUUUGUAGAACUGGUGCUUCUGCCAGGUCUCUAGAAUCGACACAUUGGCCUUGCUCUAAGAGCAAGAAUAAUAGAACGUUAUCAGCCAGGUACAAGGUUUCCAUGUCAUCAGAAAUCAUACUUGGAAGAGAAAAGAAGGGAGGAAAGAGGAGCUGACGCUUCAACAGUCGCUCGUUGUAGCACGGGUUUCAAAGAAAGAAGAGCCGGCAUGCAGCCUGCUGCUAGCUCUAGGUACACACGUAUAUGCAGAUGCCGCCUGGAAGCUUUCUCAGAACCAUCCUAGGAUCUCCUCUGUCAAAGCAGGGAUUGCUGUUUUCGUCGAUCAUUUCUCCCCCUCCUCAAAUCUGUAGGUGCAAAUUUCGCGAUAUUAACCAUUCAGCGCCAUGCAGGUUCCUCUCCAAGCAGGUGUUCUCCUUACAGCAAAUUUCGCGAUAUUAUCCUUGCAGCUACUACCAGGUAUCAGCAGGUUCCUUUGUCUCCAAUCAGGUGUUCUCCUUACAGACAACCUCACAUUGGCGCAAGGCAUAGCAUUCAGCGACACGUACCCUGGACACUGGGGACUUUCGGCCGCUGCUGGACAGGAUUUUCACCACUCUCCAGUCUAUCAAACACAUCUCUACAGACCGUAAUGCAGUGGCACAUGAUUUGGCUACUACUGCUAGAAGACCAGGCAACAUCUCUGAUUUAUCUUUCGCCUGUAUUAACAGGUUCGAGUCCUGAAAACAGCCUCUUGCAGAAAUGCAGGGAAAGGCUGCGUACAAGACCCAAAGUGGUCGGACCCUUCCCCGGACCCUGCGCAAGCGGGAGCUACAUGCACCGGGCUGCCCGGUAUUAACUGAACUCAGCUCAUAUAUAGAGCUACUGGUUGCCCUGUGCACAAGCUCUACAUGCUUCAAGAGUGGAUGGAAUCACGCUAAACUCUGUACUUUACUUUUAGUGAAAUAUAAAUCUUCUUCCUUAAAAAAAAAGUAAUCCAACUGAGCUCGAGGGCCGUGGAGUAACUAUUUUGCAGACACUUCCUUUUCUGUCUUCUUGCUCUUGGCAACAUCGUUAUUCAGGGCAUAAACUAUGUGUGGUUACACAUCAAACAGUGGCUAAGCUAUCUAGAAACUUGCAAUGUACAGUGUACUACCUCUCUCAAAAUCAGUGUACUUCU
Brachypodium distachyon (stiff brome) is the source of this 1962-nucleotide RNA transcript. RefSeq lists it as uncharacterized. NCBI's taxonomy places the organism in Eukaryota, Viridiplantae, Streptophyta, Magnoliopsida, Poales, Poaceae. The transcript has 2 exons. The record is from RefSeq and is a predicted model, not a curated record.